AAAUUGAAGAGUUUGAUCAUGGCUCAGAUUGAACGCUGGCGGCAGGCCUAACACAUGCAAGUCGAGCGGUAGCACAGAGAGCUUGCUCUCGGGUGACGAGCGGCGGACGGGUGAGUAAUGUCUGGGAAACUGCCUGAUGGAGGGGGAUAACUACUGGAAACGGUAGCUAAUACCGCAUAAUGUCGCAAGACCAAAGUGGGGGACCUUCGGGCCUCAUGCCAUCAGAUGUGCCCAGAUGGGAUUAGCUAGUAGGUGGGGUAACGGCUCACCUAGGCGACGAUCCCUAGCUGGUCUGAGAGGAUGACCAGCCACACUGGAACUGAGACACGGUCCAGACUCCUACGGGAGGCAGCAGUGGGGAAUAUUGCACAAUGGGCGCAAGCCUGAUGCAGCCAUGCCGCGUGUGUGAAGAAGGCCUUCGGGUUGUAAAGCACUUUCAGCGGGGAGGAAGGCGAUAAGGUUAAUAACCUUGUCGAUUGACGUUACCCGCAGAAGAAGCACCGGCUAACUCCGUGCCAGCAGCCGCGGUAAUACGGAGGGUGCAAGCGUUAAUCGGAAUUACUGGGCGUAAAGCGCACGCAGGCGGUCUGUCAAGUCGGAUGUGAAAUCCCCGGGCUCAACCUGGGAACUGCAUUCGAAACUGGCAGGCUAGAGUCUUGUAGAGGGGGUAGAAUUCCAGGUGUAGCGGUGAAAUGCGUAGAGAUCUGGAGGAAUACCGGUGGCGAAGGCGGCCCCCUGGACAAAGACUGACGCUCAGGUGCGAAAGCGUGGGGAGCAAACAGGAUUAGAUACCCUGGUAGUCCACGCCGUAAACGAUGUCGAUUUGGAGGUUGUGCCCUUGAGGCGUGGCUUCCGGAGCUAACGCGUUAAAUCGACCGCCUGGGGAGUACGGCCGCAAGGUUAAAACUCAAAUGAAUUGACGGGGGCCCGCACAAGCGGUGGAGCAUGUGGUUUAAUUCGAUGCAACGCGAAGAACCUUACCUGGUCUUGACAUCCACAGAACUUUCCAGAGAUGGAUUGGUGCCUUCGGGAACUGUGAGACAGGUGCUGCAUGGCUGUCGUCAGCUCGUGUUGUGAAAUGUUGGGUUAAGUCCCGCAACGAGCGCAACCCUUAUCCUUUGUUGCCAGCGGUCCGGCCGGGAACUCAAAGGAGACUGCCAGUGAUAAACUGGAGGAAGGUGGGGAUGACGUCAAGUCAUCAUGGCCCUUACGACCAGGGCUACACACGUGCUACAAUGGCAUAUACAAAGAGAAGCGACCUCGCGAGAGCAAGCGGACCUCAUAAAGUAUGUCGUAGUCCGGAUUGGAGUCUGCAACUCGACUCCAUGAAGUCGGAAUCGCUAGUAAUCGUAGAUCAGAAUGCUACGGUGAAUACGUUCCCGGGCCUUGUACACACCGCCCGUCACACCAUGGGAGUGGGUUGCAAAAGAAGUAGGUAGCUUAACCUUCGGGAGGGCGCUUACCACUUUGUGAUUCAUGACUGGGGUGAAGUCGUAACAAGGUAACCGUAGGGGAACCUGCGGUUGGAUCACCUCCUUA
This 1539-nucleotide ribosomal RNA is filed under the name Klebsiella pneumoniae. Its description in RNAcentral is "bacterial SSU rRNA". It matches the Rfam family "Bacterial small subunit ribosomal RNA". Lineage: Bacteria; Pseudomonadati; Pseudomonadota; Gammaproteobacteria; Enterobacterales; Enterobacteriaceae. The record is from RNAcentral.